RNAcentral lists this ribosomal RNA (408 nucleotides) under uncultured bacterium. RNAcentral describes it as "partial 16S ribosomal RNA". It matches the Rfam family "Bacterial small subunit ribosomal RNA", at positions 28 to 526 of the family's 1533-position model. The record is from RNAcentral.
GACGAACGCUGGCGGCGUGCUUAACACAUGCAAGUCGAACGAAGUGGCGGACGGGUGAGUAACGCGUAAGCAACCUGCCCUUCAGAGGGGGACAACAGUUGGAAACGACGGAUAAUACCGCAUAAGGAAGGAGGGGAUUGCGUCUGAUUAGCUAGUUGGGGGGGUAACGGCCAACCAAGGCGAUGAUCAGUAGCCGUUCUGAGAGGAUGAACGGCCACAUUGGGACUGAGACACGGCCCAGACUCCUACGGGAGGCAGCAGUGGGGAAUCUUCCGCAAUGGACGAAAGGCUGACGGAGCAACGCCGCGUGAGUGAUGACGGCCUUCGGGUUGUAAAGCUCUGUUAAUCGGGACGCGGUACCGGAAUAGAAAGCCACGGCUAACUACGUGCCAGCAGCCGCGGUAAUAC